RNAcentral lists this ribosomal RNA (501 nucleotides) under uncultured bacterium. RNAcentral's name for it is "partial 16S ribosomal RNA". It matches the Rfam family "Bacterial small subunit ribosomal RNA", at positions 28 to 523 of the family's 1533-position model. The record is from RNAcentral.
GACGAACGCUGGCGGCAUGCCUUACACAUGCAAGUCGAACGGCAGCACGGGUGCUUGCACCUGGUGGCGAGUGGCGAACGGGUGAGUAAUACAUCGGAACGUACCUUAUCGUGGGGGAUAACGCAGCGAAAGUUGCGCUAAUACCGCAUACGCCCUGAGGGGGAAAGCGGGGGACCGUAAGGCCUUGCGCGAUUAGAGCGGCCGAUGUCGGAUUAGCGUGUUGGUGAGGUAAAAGCUCACCAAGGCGAUGAUCAGUAGCUGGUACGAGCGGACGAUCAGCCACAGUGGGGCUGAGGCACGGCCCAGACUCCUACGGGGGGCAGCAGUGGGGAAUUUUGGACAAUGGGGGCAACCCUGAUCCAGCAAUGCCGCGUGAGUGAAGAAGGCCUUCGGGUUGUAAAGCCCUUUUAUCAGGGAAGAAACAGCAGCUCUAACACAGUCUGCGAAUGACGGUACCUGAAGAAUAAGCACCGGCUAACUACGUGCCAGCCGCCGCCGUAA